GGAGGCUCUGGCAGCUUUC
Molecule: unclassified non-coding RNA, 19 nt
Filed under: synthetic construct
Source: RNAcentral